UUGAGUCGUUACGUCAAACAAUGCAGGUUAACAUCCCUCCUCACUGAUCCGAUCACUGCCAGAUCAUGUUCGACUGUUCACACUUUGCUUUAAAAUGCGUCCUGGAUGUGUCUGUGAUUGGAUCUGGGGCUUCACUUUCAUCUAAGUCAAGGUGUGAAUCAUAGUUGGUGAUGGUGGUGGUGCUGGUCAGGUAAUAAGACCACAGCGGCUAAAUAUGUGGAGUUCCUCCCCAGGCUUUUUGGAGGUUUCAAGAUAACUCUGUUUUUACAGAGAAUGGACUGGCGAGUGGCAGUUCUCUCUGCAUUGUAGAUGCCAGGGUUUAAGUCCAACCUUUGAGCUAUAGCAGCAGAAGACCACAUUGGGUGCAACUUAUAAUGUGUCCUGUAUAUGACCUGCUGCAGCCCUGAAAUAGCAGCGAGAGGAAAUCCAUGGGACACUUCCUCGUCACCAGUUGCCCAUAACCUGGAUGAGUGGCACCCUCCCUUAAUGGAGCCUGGAGCCUGACUCCCACUCACCCUGGUCUCUCGUGACGUAUGGAGGCCAGCAGCUCAUCGCGAGUCACCGCACUGAAGUGGAGCUGAGAGCCUAAGGUGGUUGAGGCUGCUUUUUGGUUAUGUCUCCUCCCUCCUUAGCCCUCCUCACCACCGGUGAGCCUCAGCCCUAUUUUAGCUAUUAUAUGGUGUUUUAAUGUCAUA
Solea solea (common sole) is the source of this 695-nucleotide long non-coding RNA. RefSeq lists it as uncharacterized. NCBI's taxonomy places the organism in Eukaryota, Metazoa, Chordata, Actinopteri, Pleuronectiformes, Soleidae. The record is from RefSeq and is a predicted model, not a curated record. The transcript is spliced from 4 exons.